Long non-coding RNA from Oncorhynchus keta (chum salmon), 844 nucleotides. RefSeq lists it as uncharacterized. The record is from RefSeq and is a predicted model, not a curated record. The transcript is spliced from 4 exons. Lineage: Eukaryota; Metazoa; Chordata; Actinopteri; Salmoniformes; Salmonidae.
UGCCAGGGCCCAUAGGGUUCUAGUCAAAAGUAGUGCCCUAUAUAGGGAAUAGGGUGCCAGGGCCCAUAGGGUUCUAGUCAAAAGUAGUGCCCUAUAUAGGGAAUAGGGUGCCAGGGCCCAUAGGGUUCUAGUCAAAAGUAGUGCACUAUAUAGGGAAUAGGGUGCCAGGGCCCAUAGGGUUCUAGUCAAAAGUAGUGCACUAUAUAGGGAAUAGGGUGCCAUUUUAAUACACCCAUGGCGUUUCGCGGCACAGAAAGGACAAUACUGACAGUAUAGGAGUAGUUCAAUAACUGGUGAGGAACAACGGAAGGAGAGUUUUAAAAACGGUUUAUUUAAAAGGUAUGUGUGGUGGAACGGACGCCAGGGAGAAUAUGUGUCCCGAUAACACAUUGAACAACGGAAGGAGAGUUUUAAGAACGGUUUAUUUAAAAGGUAUGUGUGGUGGAACGGACUCCAGGGAGAAUAUGUGUCCCGAUAACACAUUGAACAACGGAAGGAGAGUUUUAAGAACGGUUUAUUUAAAAGGUAUGUGUGGUGGAACGGACUCCAGGGAGAAUAUGUAUCCCGAUAACACAUUGAACAACGGAAGGAGAGUUUUAAGAACGGUUUAUUUAAAAGGUAUGUGUGGUGGAACGGACGCCAGGGAGAAUAUGUGUCCCGAUAACACAUUGAACAACGGAAGGAGAGUUUUAAGAACGGUUUAUUUAAAAGGUAUGUGUGGUGGAACGGACGCCAGGGAGAAUAUGUAUCCCGAUAACACAUUGUCAGUGUUUAUGUAGGCCGUUAUUGUAAAUAAGAAUUUGUUCUUAACUGACUUGUCUAGAUAAAUAAAGGCUAUAUACAC